Molecule: ribosomal RNA, 522 nt
Filed under: uncultured Bacillota bacterium
Lineage: Bacteria; Bacillati; Bacillota
Description: bacterial SSU rRNA
Rfam family: Bacterial small subunit ribosomal RNA
Source: RNAcentral
UUGAAACUCAAAGGAAUUGACGGGGGCCCGCACAAGCGGUGGAUUAUGUGGUUUAAUUCGAUGCAACGCGAAGAACCUUACCAGGGCUUGACAUCCUACUAACGAAGUAGAGAUACAUUAGGUCCUUCGGGGAAGUAGAGACAGGUGGUGCAUGGUUGUCGUCAGCUCGUGUCGUGAGAUGUUGGGUUAAGUCCCGCAACGAGCGCAACCCUUAUUGUUAGUUGCUACGCAAGAGCACUCUAGCGAGACUGCCGUUGACAAAACGGAGGAAGGUGGGGACGACGUCAAAUCAUCAUGCCCCUUAUGUCCUGGGCUACACACGUAAUACAAUGGCGGCCAACAGAGGGAUGCAAAGCUGUGAAGUGGAGCGAACCCCUAAAAGCCGUCCCAGUUCAGAUUGCAGUCUGCAACUCGACUGCAUGAAGUCGGAAUCGCUAGUAAUCGCGGAUCAGCAUGCCGCGGUGAAUACGUUCCCGGGCCUUGUACACACCGCCCGUCACACCAUGAGAGUCGGGAACACCC